GAAAGGCGCUUUUGCGUCACUGAUGGAUGGACCCGCGGUGCAUUAGCUAGUUGGUGAGGUAACGGCUCACCAAGGCCACGAUGCAUAGCCGACCUGAGAGGGUGAUCGGCCACACUGGGACUGAGACACGGCCCAGACUCCUACGGGAGGCAGCAGUAGGGAAUCUUCGGCAAUGGACGAAAGUCUGACCGAGCAACGCCGCGUGAGUGAAGAAGGUUUUCGGAUCGUAAAACUCUGUUGUUAGAGAAGAACAAGGAUGAGAGUAGAACGUUCAUCCCUUGACGGUAUCUAACCAGAAAGCCACGGCUAACUACGUGCCAGCAGCCGCGGUAAUACGUAGGUGGCAAGCGUUGUCCGGAUUUAUUGGGCGUAAAGCGAGCGCAGGCGGUUUCUUAAGUCUGAUGUGAAAGCCCCCAGCUCAACCGGGGAGGGUCAUUGGAAACUGGGAGACUUGAGUGCAGAAGAGGAGAGUGGAAUUCCAUGUGUAGCGGUGAAAUGCGUAGAUAUAUGGAGGAACACCAGUGGCGAAGGCGGCUCUCUGGUCUGUAACUGACGCUGAGGCUCGAAAGCGUGGGGAGCGAACAGGAUUAGAUACCCUGGUAGUCCACGCCGUAAACGAUGAGUGCUAAGUGUUGGAGGGUUUCCGCCCUUCA
Molecule: ribosomal RNA, 653 nt
Filed under: uncultured bacterium
Lineage: Bacteria
Description: bacterial SSU rRNA
Rfam family: Bacterial small subunit ribosomal RNA
Source: RNAcentral